RNAcentral lists this long non-coding RNA (809 nucleotides) under Triticum aestivum (bread wheat). RNAcentral's name for it is "long non-coding RNA (TAES_LNC001997)". Lineage: Eukaryota; Viridiplantae; Streptophyta; Magnoliopsida; Poales; Poaceae. The record is from RNAcentral.
GGCGUGGAGGUGGUGGUGGUGGCGGCCGUGGCAUGGGUAGUGGAUACGAGAAUGGGCGUGGAGGUGGUGGUGGUGGCUGUGGCAUGGGCAGCGGAUACGAAAAUGGGUGUGGAGGUGGUGGUGGAUACCAGAAUGACCGGGGUUGUGGUGGCGGAUACCAGAAUGGCCGGGAUGGUGGUGGCAGCAGCGGGUACCAGAACAACCGGGGUGGUGGUGGCGGUGGUGGGUACCAGAACAGCCGGGGUGGUGGUGGCACCGGUGGGUACCAGAAUAGCCGGGGUGGUGGUGGUGGCGGCGGGUACUACAACAACGACGAUGGGUACUACCAGCCGAGGAACUUGAACAACAGGGGCAGGGGCGCAGGGAGGUGGCCACGCGGACACCGAGAGGAUUGAGGCAAUGGCAUAUGUGGAAGUCUGGGAGGUCAGGAGAGGGAAGGGGCAAUGUGGAAGUCUGGGAGCCAUUUUGUUAUUAUAGAACUACGGAGUAUGUAAUAACCUAGCCUGUGGGUAUGUCGCAAUCCAGUCCCUCCCCAUCUGCGAGUUUUUUUGUUGCUCCAAUGAGUGCAUAAUGGUUGGUUGGUAAAUGUGGAAUCUCGUUGAAAGUAGCUUCAGGUCAUACAUGUGUUGCUUCUUUUUCUGGCUGUGUGAGUUGUCAUAUAUUUCCGGUUGGUUUAUUAUUUUUGUUAGAUGUCUUUCUACGUCAUUCCUGUUCAUUUUCCAGCGUUUGUGUUUGUGUUACCUUUGUUUGUUCUGGCCUGUAUCGUAGCUCUUCAAAAAAAGAAAAAAAAUACUGUUUGUUUCGGUGAA